GGCUGUAGCUGGUUUUAUGAGAUAUCACGGUGCUGUGUCAUGCACCUGUGUAGCUGAGAGCAGAAUGUUCGCUGCGGAGAUGGAAAAAAAAAAAACAGGCACUGGAAGGGAUAUAAGCACAGUCCCCUUUUGUUAGCAAUGAAAGUGGAGCACAUGGCCUGGAGUAACUUUCUGAAAGAUCAUUGAAAGAAACUCACGAGUUUCUACUUUAUACCCGUAUCCUUUAAUCUUUUAGCUAAAAUUUCAUGUACCCAACGAAGUAACCGGAUUUAUUUUGCUUCCCACCAGCCAAGAUGUUAACCGGACCCUUCAGCUUUCCCUCUGCUCUCUGCCUUUAACCUGGGCCAAUUAGGUUGGGAACUACACUGCAGCAUGGCCUCGAAACAACACGCUUGCUCAGAAUUGUCCUUCGAAUGCUGCUGUUCUCCCACGGGAAUCGGAAAUCCCAGGGCCUGCAUGCUUAACCCUUUCCACACCAUGGACACGCCUCAGGUUCUAAAGAGCAAAGCAUGUCACUCAGGCAGACCAUGACCUUGGCUCCUAAUCCGGAAGGCCAGUUUCAGGGAUGCCCACGUGGAGAAGAGAAAAUGACCAGAGAACAAGUGUGCUCACAGCCCUUGUGGGAAUAAUCGUGCCCACCUGGGGGGCUUUUCUGAAGACACUCAGAGCCGACUAAGAUAGGGGAGCGGUCUUGUUUUCUUUGGUGGCUCAUCUCUGCCUCUGUUUCUCCAUCAGAUCACAGUGAAAGCUGUAGCCCACAGUGUUGCUCACGAUUUCAGAGGAGAAUUGAAAAUGAGGAGGAAUGGAAUAUUCGCAAGUGUCUACUUGUCAACAAAGCGUGCCAGGUGUGUUCUCUCAUCUCCGGGGAUCAGCAGCUUCCUGUAAUCUCCCUUUAUGCCUUUCAUUCACUCUAAUCACAAGGAUUUUACAAGAGGCCCUCCUUGACCCCAGGCAUGAGCUCGGCCCUUUAUUUGUAAGUGAACUCAGCAGUGUUCACUUAACACUUUUAAGGAUCUGCGCCCAGGGAAGGGGAAGCGUGGUCAGACAGCAGGCUCUCUGAACUCACCUUUCUGGACAAAGAUCUCCCUAGGCAUUGUACACGCCUCCUUCUUUUCUUUCCCCUUGAGCUGUCCGGGUUUCACAGCAAGUUAUAAAGCGAAGAGCCUCACCUGCCUUUGAGACCACCUCCCCUUGGCCCAGCUCAGUAGCUGGUCCUCAGCAACCUGAGCGGCUCACUUGGGAGGCUGCAUGGCCGAGCAGGCGAAGCACUUACAGUGGAAGCGAGGCCUGUGAUGCUGUCAACUUGCUUCUUAACCCUAGGAUGCUGUGAGAAUUAAAUUACAUAGUAGCUGCAAAAUAAUUUGGCUUUCUUGGAGUUGGACACCACCUGAACCUGAGUGAAAUGAUUGUGCACUUCUUAAUGGCCUCCAUCUCUGGCCAAGCUGCCUUGGGACCAGAACAAUCAUCUAAGUCCCAGUUUCCAGCCUAAAACAGCAUGAGGACAAGGCCAGGAGGCCACAGCAAGGCUGUAAUCAGAACCCACAAGGAUUGCAUGGAGAUGCUGCAGUGCCGCCACCACCCAACGGCCGGAGCCCCCAGCAAAGAGUUUUCCACAAAAUGGGAGAAAAGUAUAAGAAGCUCUUCCUGCUAUGGGGAAACAAGGCAACUCAGAGGACUGAGAGACUCAGGACUUCCAGACAGAGGAUCAGGCGUACCUCAUGCAUGGGUGUUUUGGAAGAAGGCCAUUUUGAAACCUACUCUGUAUCAUUACAGACUUUCAGUGAAUUAAUUUAGAAUAAAUCCACCUCCUUCCCUGUAUGUGGUAGAAUUUCACUGGGAUACAACGUGAGGACAGAGAUUUGAACCCUCAGUCCCACUUAUGAUGCGGGGCUUCAGGGGCACCACGGACAUGCUCCGCAUUCACCCAUCUGUGGGGGAGGACUAAGGAAGCUGCGCUGGUGUGUGAGAAAGUAAUGGGCUCUUUUAAGCCCUUUUACUUAAAGCAAUAAAAGAAUAACUGCGUCAUCUGCUGGAGUAAAAGUUUUCAACAGAUGACCGGCUUGGUUCUUAAAACACACACACACACACACACACACACACGAGGAGUGAACCACACAGCAUGCAAAUGAGAGGAACAAACGCUUUUGUUUGUUGGAGAUUAAUUUUUAUGGAAAGUUGUACAUUGCAGAUUGCAAUCAACCUGACACAUUCUCUCCCUCCUGCUCCUUCUCUCAGUUGGCUUUGAGGAGAGGCACUUCCAAGUUUGAGAAUUCAUCUUGUCUGAUUAAUGAUGUGUACACAGAGAUUUCAGUCUCAUCUUCCUUCUCUGGGUCCUUUUUAUUCAGUUGUUUGCUGUGCUACAACCCUGCGGAUAGAUGGUUCUGCCGUGAUAAAUGUAAAGUUUGCAUAAGCCAUGUAACAGCAGGACAGCCUAUUAUCACCGUACAUUUUCCAUGGCUGUGCAAACCUCUGUAGGCUAUUUUAUUGCUAAUAGAUCCACAGAGAAACAGUAGUGAUUUUACGACUCUUUUUAAAAUGGAAAUUCAUGUUUGAGAAAUACAACUGGGAGGAAACAGAUGUAAACCACUUAAGCAUUUGCAGAAAAUUGAGAUGCACACUCUUAUUUACAGACCUACAUAGCCUCCAUCGCUUUAUUUUCAAAAUUAAAAUAAGCAAUCUGUUUACCAUGGGAAAUGAUGAACUGUAAACUUGUUGUUUUUCCUUUUACAUGGCAAUGGCCGCCAUCGUUGGGUUUAAUGGCAGAACUGAAGCAGGCAGCGUGGCAAUUUUUUCCCCUUAGGUUUUAUUGUCUGUAAUGCAUUCCCUCUGUAAUCUGCGCGAGAGGUAGGUAAGUGGGAAAGAUUUUCGUGUAACUGUAUGUCUGAAUUCACAUUAUGCUUGAACAGCUAAAAUGAUUACCAGACACAUUAGAAAGAUUUUAACCAGGUAUUUAACACUAUCUGUAAAUUGCUUAAAAUACUGGAAGAGUCAACCUCCACAAAAACGCUUUCACAUGGCCAAACACAAAAGCACAACCCAUCCAAAAACAUUUAUUCUGGCCUCGUCCCAACUUUCUCACAUCUUUUGGAGUUGUGACAAAUGUCACAUGUUGGAAAGGAGAUACAAAUGGAAGCAUCACAAAACAAUAUAGCAAUGAGAAGUCUGUCCACCAGACUCAUCAGAGCAAGCUCCUUGUGGCAUGUGGAAGCUCCUCUGGUUUUUAAUUUCAGCAUUGAUCUUUUUUUUUUUUUUUUUUUUUAGGUCUAGAACUACAUUUUUUGUUGCGGCAAAAUAUAUGCAACACAAAAUUGACCGUUUUAACCAUUUCUAAGUAUACAAUUCAGUGGCAUGAAAUGCAUUCACAUUGUCGUGCAACCAGCACCACCAUCCAGCUCCAGAACUUCAUCACAGACUGAAACUCUGUACCCAUGAAAGCAAAGACUCGCCAUUUCCCCCUCUUCUCCCAGCCCCUAGUAAUUUCUAUUCUACCUUCUGGCUGUAUGAAUUUGCCUAUCCUAGGCACCUCAUAUAAGUGGAAUUAUACAGUACUUGUCCCUUUGUAACUAGCUUAUUUCACUUAGCAUAAUGUCCUCAGGGUUCACCCAUGUUGUAGCAUGUAUCAGAAUGUCUUUCCUUUCUAAGGCUGAAUAAUAUUCCAUGGUGUGUAUAUACCACAUUUUGUUUAUCUGCCCUGUGUGGCUAGUCCUGGGAUUUUAAUAUUGAGGAGGUAUCCCCAUCAACCCGGGGAUGGAAGUGGCCUGCUUAUUCGUGAGCACUGCAAAGCAGGACGGCUAAGGAGAAUGAGAGGCGUCCAGACUAGGUCUGCAGAAUCAGGCAGGGAGGGCUCCUGGAAACUAUAGGUUUCUGGUCUCUGUAUAACAAUCACCAGCUGUGGGAAUAUUUUGCUUUCAUCCUUAAGCUUUGUUUUAAAUGUCAAAGGAGACUAAGCUAGACCCUCUUAGGAACUGAAAUUUUUCUCGGAGACAAGAUAUGAUGGACUUCGGCCCAAAGUCAGAUAACAGAAUGUGUUUCCAACCCCAUGCCUCCCCAAGCCACUCACUGCCACUGGGGAAGGCACUCGGGAGACUCCCUGAUCAUGGCCCUUGGAUUGCAUCAAAUGAGGCACAGCCACAGUGAGCAGGCUCUGAGCUCACUCACUCUUGGUGGAAACCAUACUAUAUGGAGA
RNAcentral lists this long non-coding RNA (4186 nucleotides) under Homo sapiens (human). RNAcentral describes it as "HSALNT0120269". The record is from RNAcentral. Lineage: Eukaryota; Metazoa; Chordata; Mammalia; Primates; Hominidae.